GUCGAGCGUCUCUAGCUAUGUUGAGACGCGGCAGACGGCUCAGUAACACGUGGCUAACCUACCCUCAGGACGAGGAUAAACCCGGGAAACUGGGGCUAAUACUCGAUAGGUGAGAAUGUCUGGAAUGAUUUCUCAUUCAAAGGGCUUUAGAAACAUGCUUCUAAAGUCGCCUGGGGAUGGGGCCGCGUCCGAUCAGGUUGUUGGUGAGGUAACGGCUCACCAAGCCUAUAACCGGUACGGGCCGUGAGAGCGGUAGCCCGGAGAUGGGUACUGAGACAAGGACCCAGGCCCUACGGGGCGCAGCAGUCGCGAAAACUCCGCAAUGCACGAAAGUGUGACGGGGCUACCCCGAGUGCCAUCCGCUGAGGAUGGCUUUUCUUUGGUGUAACUAGCGGGGGGAAUAAGGAGAGGGCAAGACUGGUGUCAGCCGCCGCGGUAAUACCAGCUCUCCGAGUGGUAGGGAUGAUUAUUGGGCUUAAAGCGUCCGUAGCCGGCUUAGCAAGUCUCCUGUUAAAUUCAGCGACCUAAUCGUUGAGCCGCGGGAGAUACUACUAGGCUAGGAGGCGGGAGAGGUCGACGGUACUUCUGGGGUAGGGGUGAAAUCCUAUAAUCCCGGGAGGACCACCAGUGGCGAAGGCUGUUGACUAGAACGCGCUCGACGGUGAGGGACGAAAGCUGGGGGAGCGAACCGGAUUAGAUACCCGGGUAGUCCCAGCCGUAAACGAUGCGGGCUAGGU
Molecule: ribosomal RNA, 737 nt
Filed under: uncultured archaeon
Lineage: Archaea
Description: bacterial SSU rRNA
Rfam family: Archaeal small subunit ribosomal RNA
Source: RNAcentral